This 253-nucleotide ribosomal RNA is filed under the name uncultured bacterium. RNAcentral describes it as "partial 16S ribosomal RNA". It matches the Rfam family "Bacterial small subunit ribosomal RNA", at positions 524 to 776 of the family's 1533-position model. The record is from RNAcentral.
UACGAAGGGGGCUAGCGUUGUUCGGAAUUACUGGGCGUAAAGCGCACGUAGGCGGAUCGAUCAGUCAGGGGUGAAAUCCCAGGGCUCAACCCUGGAACUGCCUUUGAUACUGUCGAUCUGGAGUAUGGAAGAGGUGAGUGGAAUUCCGAGUGUAGAGGUGAAAUUCGUAGAUAUUCGGAGGAACACCAGUGGCGAAGGCGGCUCACUGGUCCAUUACUGACGGUGAGGUGCGAAAGCGUGGGGAGCAAACAGG